UAUAAUAACCAAAAACAGCAAAAAUUUCCUUAAAUUAACAAUUCAGGGGCCGCAACCCAAAAACAGGUUGUCCAAUUCAUCUGAAAAUUUCAGGGCAGAUAGAUCUUCGCCUGAUUAACAAUUUUAUCCAAUGUCAGAUUAGCUCUAAAUGCUUUGGUUUUUGAGUUAUAAGCCAAAAACUGCAUUUUACCCCUAUGUUCUAUUUAUAGCCAUGGCGGUCAUCUUGGUUAGUUGGCGGGGUCACCGGACACAAUUUUUAAACUAGAUACCCCAAUGAUGAUUGUGGCCAAGUUUCAAAUAAUUUGGUCCAGCAGUUUCAGAGGAGAAGAUUUUUCUAAAAGAUUACUAAGAUUUACGAAAAAUGGUUAAAAAUUUACUAUAAAGGGCAAUAACUCCUAAAGUGGUCAACUGAUCAUUUUGGUCAUAUUGACUUAUUU
RNAcentral lists this long non-coding RNA (437 nucleotides) under Mytilus galloprovincialis (Mediterranean mussel). Lineage: Eukaryota; Metazoa; Mollusca; Bivalvia; Mytilida; Mytilidae. The record is from RNAcentral.